RNAcentral lists this transfer RNA (67 nucleotides) under Heterosigma akashiwo. The record is from RNAcentral. Lineage: Eukaryota; Raphidophyceae; Chattonellales; Chattonellaceae.
GUAUACUGACGGGCUCUUUGCAGUUCGUUCGUCCUUGAGUGUGCUGCAUCGGGAUCAAUCCGAAAAC